Molecule: long non-coding RNA, 665 nt
Filed under: Struthio camelus australis
Lineage: Eukaryota; Metazoa; Chordata; Aves; Struthioniformes; Struthionidae
Description: lncRNA (ENSSCUG00000018773.1)
Source: RNAcentral
UCUGUAAACUUCAUCAGUGAUGAUAUUUUCUUCUAGAUCUUUGAGAAAUUUACUUCAGAGUAUUUGGCCAAGAAAAAAUUCCCUGGCAGACGCAUUUCAGAAAUCAUCCCAAAGACUUUCCAUUGCUUGCUACUUUUUAUCAGAAGCACAGAGAGGGCUGAAGAACAGAAACCAGAAGCAAAUCUGCAAUGAUCCGCUGGAGAGGUGACCUGAGAUUUGACAACACCUGACUGUGAAUGAUCUAGGACAUCUGGAAGCAGAUGUGAACCUGAAACCCAAGCCUUCAAAACACAUGUUGGCGGGGGUGGUACUUCUAAAGAUCAACCAAGGAGAAAUCUCCAUGAAUAUGAUAUGCUGAAUAUAUCCUCAAAGCCAGUGCAGCCUAGCUGUAGAAGCCAGUUGAGAAGUGGACUCUUUCUACAAUUGCUGGUCACUUUUGUUUAAAACACGUUCCUGAAGGAGUUCUCACGCAAUGGGUCACUAAGACCAACAGACUACUUUUUAUCGCCUCUGUUUUUGAACACCCAAGGAGGGAUUCUCUGUGUCCAGUCACCACGAAUGUAGGAGAACCCACAUCUCAGCUGAAAUCAGCAGGAGCUGCAGCCCAUUGGUACUUCUGAAACCAGGUCUGUGAAGUGCAGGUAAUUGACAGAUUUGUCUUGCCC